AGAGUUUGAUCAUGGCUCAGGACGAACGCUGGCGGCGUGCUUAACACAUGCAAGUCGAACGAUGAACCACUUCGGUGGGGAUUAGUGGCGAACGGGUGAGUAACACGUGGGCAAUCUGCCCUUCACUCUGGGACAAGCCCUGGAAACGGGGUCUAAUACCGGAUAGCACUCCUGCCUGCAUGGGUGGGGGUUGAAAGCUCCGGCGGUGAAGGAUGAGCCCGCGGCCUAUCAGCUUGUUGGUGAGGUAGUGGCUCACCAAGGCGACGACGGGUAGCCGGCCUGAGAGGGCGACCGGCCACACUGGGACUGAGACACGGCCCAGACUCCUACGGGAGGCAGCAGUGGGGAAUAUUGCACAAUGGGCGAAAGCCUGAUGCAGCGACGCCGCGUGAGGGAUGACGGCCUUCGGGUUGUAAACCUCUUUCAGCAGGGAAGAAGCGAAAGUGACGGUACCUGCAGAAGAAGCGCCGGCUAACUACGUGCCAGCAGCCGCGGUA
Molecule: ribosomal RNA, 497 nt
Filed under: uncultured Actinomycetes bacterium
Lineage: Bacteria; Bacillati; Actinomycetota; Actinomycetes
Description: bacterial SSU rRNA
Rfam family: Bacterial small subunit ribosomal RNA
Source: RNAcentral